RNAcentral lists this ribosomal RNA (497 nucleotides) under uncultured bacterium. Its description in RNAcentral is "partial 16S ribosomal RNA". It matches the Rfam family "Bacterial small subunit ribosomal RNA", at positions 28 to 507 of the family's 1533-position model. The record is from RNAcentral.
GAUGAACGCUGGCGGCGUGCCUAAUACAUGCGAGUCGAGCGAACGGACGAGAAGCUUGCUUCUCUGAUGUUAGCGGCGGACGGGUGAGUAACACGUGGGUAACCUACCUAUAAGACUGGGAUAACUUCGGGAAACCGGAGCUAAUACCGGAUAAUAUUUUGAACCGCAUGGUUCAAAAGUGAAAGACGGUCUUGCUGUCACUUAUAGAUGGAUCCGCGCUGCAUUAGCUAGUUGGUAAGGUAACGGCUUACCAAGGCAACGAUGCAUAGCCGACCUGAGAGGGUGAUCGGCCACACUGGAACUGAGACACGGUCCAGACUCCUACGGGAGGCAGCAGUAGGGAAUCUUCCGCAAUGGGCGAAAGCCUGACGGAGCAACGCCGCGUGAGUGAUGAAGGUCUUCGGAACGUAAAACUCUGUUAUUAGGGAAGAACAUAUGUGUAAGUAACUGUGCACAUCUUGACGGUACCUAAUCAGAAAGCCACGGCUAACUACGUG